Tachyglossus aculeatus (Australian echidna) is the source of this 700-nucleotide long non-coding RNA. RefSeq lists it as uncharacterized. The record is from RefSeq and is a predicted model, not a curated record. The transcript is spliced from 4 exons. Lineage: Eukaryota; Metazoa; Chordata; Mammalia; Monotremata; Tachyglossidae.
GAAUCGAGGCUGCUAUUGUCUGACGUCUUAUCCAACUGAGGGGCCAGAAAUGAGAUCCUUCUAGAACUUCGCUCAAUCCCUCUACAAGAGAAGGGAAAAUCAGGGACCAAAAUGAAUAAAGGAAGGCCGCAGUCCUGGACGCUUCCGGUGAAGACUUCUUCCCUUUUCUCAUCCUACUGAGCACCCUAGGUCCUCCUGAAGUGAGUCUAUAUGAUUUCACCCACAUCACAGGCCUGAGGACUCCUGGUAUGUCACAGAAGUAUGGUUCCUGCUCUCGAAGAACUAUUUCAGUUUCCCGGGGAAGACAAGCAAACACAGGACGAAGAUAGAAAUCAUAAUAGGGGAGAACAUGUACAGCUGCACCUGAUAACAGCAAGAGAAUGGAAAAAUGAAUGACUAAGUGGAGCAGACUCAAAUUACAACAGCUUGAUCCUUGGAGAGGUGGGCAGGACAGAACUUGGAGGAGAAGGCUAACCUGCUAUAUAAGAGCCUGGACCCUGACCUUCUGAAGAGUUUUAUUGUCUGUGAAGGGGAUCAAGACUCUGAAGACAGUCUAAACUGUGGGGUGUUUACAAGAAAAGAUUUUGAAGACUUUGCAGUUGCUUCAUAAUUUUCAUUGCAACAAACUCAAUUACAUAUUUUCUCAAAUGAUCUUUCUCACAAGUCAAGGUUUUGCCUCAGUUUAUGCAUUCUUUCAAAU